GGUGCUGCAUGGCUGUCGUUCAGCUCGUGUCGUGAGAUGUUGGGUUAAGUCCCGUAACGAGCGCAACCCUUGUCCUUAGUUACCAGCACGUUAUGGUGGGCACUCUAAGGAGACUGCCGGUGACAAACCGGAGGAAGGUGGGGAUGACGUCAAGUCAUCAUGGCCCUUACGGCCUGGGCUACACACGUGCUACAAUGGUCGGUACAAAGGGUUGCCAAGCCGCGAGGUGGAGCUAAUCCCAUAAAACCGAUCGUAGUCCGGAUCGCAGUCUGCAACUCGACUGCGUGAAGUCGGAAUCGCUAGUAAUCGUGAAUCAGAAUGUCACGGUGAAUACGUUCCCGGGCCUU
This 347-nucleotide ribosomal RNA is filed under the name uncultured Pseudomonas sp. Its description in RNAcentral is "bacterial SSU rRNA". It matches the Rfam family "Bacterial small subunit ribosomal RNA", at positions 1037 to 1382 of the family's 1533-position model. The record is from RNAcentral. Lineage: Bacteria; Pseudomonadati; Pseudomonadota; Gammaproteobacteria; Pseudomonadales; Pseudomonadaceae.